RNAcentral lists this ribosomal RNA (493 nucleotides) under Limnonectes finchi (Finch's wart frog). Its description in RNAcentral is "partial 12S small subunit ribosomal RNA". It matches the Rfam family "Bacterial small subunit ribosomal RNA", at positions 792 to 1533 of the family's 1533-position model. Lineage: Eukaryota; Metazoa; Chordata; Amphibia; Anura; Dicroglossidae. The record is from RNAcentral.
AUGCCCCACCGUAAAACAUUAACUCACACCAACUACGCCCGGGUACUACGAGCCCAGCUUAAAACCCAAAGGACUUGACGGUGUCCCACCCAACUAGAGGAGCCUGUUCUAUAAUCGAUAAUCCCCGAUUUACCCAACCCCAUUUUGCCACUCAGCCUGUAUACCUCCGUCGUAAGCUUACCACAUGAAUGCACACAGUAAGUCCAACGAUCUUAACAUCAAUACGUCAGGUCAAGGUGCAGCUCAUGAUAGGGAAAGCAAUGGGCUACAAUUUCUAAGAUAGAACAUACGAAAUGCUCUAUGAAACACAGCAUGAAGGCGGAUUUAGCAGUAAAAAGGAAAUAAUGCGUCCUUCUUAACAAGGCCCUGGGACGUGUACACACCGCCCGUCACCCUCUUCAAUAGUAUACAACACGUCUAUAACAACUUUUCACGCCUUAGAAGAGGCAAGUCGUAACAUGGUAAGUGUACCGGAAGGUGCGCUUGGAUUUUA